CUGGGUAAAUACUAAAUUUUGAAUGAUGUUUUCGAAGUAUUCUUCUUCUUUGUAGUUCAGCUCCUGGUACUCGCUGUUCAGCUUACUGUCAUCUGUCAUGAUCUCAUCUGGAUAACCAAUCCUCUCUUUAAUUGCUGUUGCUUUUUGUUCUGCCUUCUUUUUGGUUUCUGCAUCCAUCCAGGUGAGAUCAUCUAAGGUUUCUAUAAAAACACCACGUAUGUCUGCAAUCAUUU
This 233-nucleotide long non-coding RNA is filed under the name Gallus gallus (chicken). Lineage: Eukaryota; Metazoa; Chordata; Aves; Galliformes; Phasianidae. The record is from RNAcentral.